UGGGGAAUAUUGCGCUAAAGCGCGAAAGCGUGACGCAGCGACGCCGCGUGGGGGAUGAAGGCCCUCGGGUCGUAAACCCCUUUCGGCAGGGACGAAGCGAGAGUGACGGUACCUGCAGAAGAAGUCCCGGCUAACUACGUGCCAGCAGCCGCGGUAACACGUAGGGGACGAGCGUUGUCCGGAUUCAUUGGGCGUAAAGCGCGCGUAGGCGGCCCGAAAAGUCGGUUGUGAAAUCCCGGGGCUCAACCCCGGGACCGCGUCCGAAACUUCCGAGCUCGAGGCAGGUAGGGGAGAUCGGAAUUCCUGGUGUAGCGGUGAAAUGCGCAGAUAUCAGGAGGAACACCGGUGGCGAAGGCGGAUCUCUGGGCCUUGCCUGACGCUGAGGCGCGAAAGCUAGGGGAGCGAACAGGAUUAGAUACCCUGGUAGUCCUAGCCGUAAACGUUGGGUGCUAGGUGUGGGCGGACAUCGACCCCGUCCGUGCCGAAGCUAACGCAUUAAGCACCCCGCCUGGGGAGUACGGCCGCAAGGCUA
This 532-nucleotide ribosomal RNA is filed under the name uncultured bacterium. RNAcentral's name for it is "bacterial SSU rRNA". It matches the Rfam family "Bacterial small subunit ribosomal RNA", at positions 355 to 896 of the family's 1533-position model. The record is from RNAcentral.